CCUACGGGAGGCAGCAGUGAGGAAUAUUGGUCAAUGGGCUUACGCCUGAACCAGCCAAGUCGCGUGAGGGAAGACUGCCCUAUGGGUUGUAAACCUCUUUUGUCAGGGAGCAAUUGGCGCUACGUGUAGCGUUAUCGAGAGUCCCUGAAGAAAAAGCAUCGGCAAACUCGGUGCCAGCAGCCGCGGUAAUACGGAGGAUGCGAGCGUUAUCCGGAUUUAUUGGGUUAACAGGGUGCGUAGGCGGAAUGCCAAGUCAGCGGUAAAAUCGCGGGGCUCAACCUCGCUCCGCCGUUGAUACUGGCAUUCUUGAGUGGGCGAGAGGUAUGCGGAAUGCGUGGUGUAGCGGUGAAAUGCAUAGAUAUCACGAAGAACUCCGAUUGCGAAGGCAGCAUACCGGCGCCCAACUGACGCUGAAGCACGAAAGCGUGGGUAGCGAACAGGAUUAGAUACCCUGGUAGUC
This 460-nucleotide ribosomal RNA is filed under the name uncultured bacterium. RNAcentral describes it as "partial 16S ribosomal RNA". It matches the Rfam family "Bacterial small subunit ribosomal RNA", at positions 338 to 795 of the family's 1533-position model. The record is from RNAcentral.